GAUGAACGCUAGCUACAGGCUUAACACAUGCAAGUCGAGGGGUAACGAGAGGAAAGCUUGCUUUCCUUGUCGACGACCGGCGCACGGGUGAGUAACGCGUAUCCAACCUGCCCCCAACUAAGGAAUAACCUUGCGAAAGUAAGACUAAUACCUUAUAAUUUCCUCAGAUGUCAUCUGACGAGGAAUAAAGAUUUAUCGGCUGUGGAUGGGGAUGCGUCUGAUUAGCUUGUUGGCGGGGUAACGGCCCACCAAGGCAACGAUCAUUAGGGGUUCUUAGAGGAAGGGCCCCCACAACGGAACUGAGACACGGUCCGGACUCCUACGGGAGGCAUCAGUGAGGAAUAUUGGUCAAUGGGCGAGAGCCUGAACCAGCCAAGUCGCGUGAAGGAAGAAUGUCCUAUGGAUUGUAAACUUCUUUUGUAGGGGGGUAAAGUUAGCCACGUGUGGUUAUUUGUAGGUACUGUAUGAAUAAGGACCGGCUAAUUCCGUGCCAGCCGCCGCGGUAA
RNAcentral lists this ribosomal RNA (506 nucleotides) under uncultured bacterium. RNAcentral describes it as "partial 16S ribosomal RNA". It matches the Rfam family "Bacterial small subunit ribosomal RNA", at positions 28 to 523 of the family's 1533-position model. The record is from RNAcentral.